Molecule: long non-coding RNA, 563 nt
Filed under: Brassica rapa (field mustard)
Lineage: Eukaryota; Viridiplantae; Streptophyta; Magnoliopsida; Brassicales; Brassicaceae
Description: long non-coding RNA (BRAP_LNC007482)
Source: RNAcentral
UGGCACUCACAUGAGUUUUUGUGGUAGGGUUAUCAAAAGAAAAAUUGGAUUUUUCUACAUAUUAUAGCAUUGAUUUUUUGUUUCUCAGUUAGCGCGGGUUUGUGACAUGUUUUUUUUGCCAGAUAUACUACUUACUAGACUGUUUUUUUUCUUCUUUUUAUUUGAUAACCGUGGAAAGGAUAACUUUUAGUGAUUUGGAACAACUGAAUAAAAUUCAAUUAUAUCGUUUAGUUUAAAGUUUAUGAGAAUAUACCAGUUGUUUUGCGUAUUUUAUUUGUAGAAAUCAAAGGUAUGCCUUCAAAUAUCUUAAUGCAUAUGUAAUAUUAUGUAUCUAUCGAGAGCCUGGACAGGACUUAGCGAAUCAAGAUCCAGGCCCGUAAAUAUACUUUGGGCCUAGUAUUUAACUCUUUGUCUGGACUACACAAAGUCCAAACAUAUCUAAAACCCACCUGUAUUUUGGACUCUGCAGUUUUUAUUUUAACGUUAUCGUAAAUGAAGAAAAAAGGACGAAGCCAACGCGUAGGUAUACAUUUGUGUUUAUAUAUUCUACGGUUAGAUUUCAA